AAAACUAUAGAUAAACAGGUUCAUUAUUGCAAAUUAUAAUUUGAGAAGAUACAAAAAGUAUUUUAUUUCAUAUUUAAAGUAACCUACCACAUUUAAUGGUGCAUUGAGCAACGAGUUAUACAGCGUAUCUGGAGAAAUAAGAACAAAACUUGAUGCUUUAAAAAAA
Ciona intestinalis (vase tunicate) is the source of this 166-nucleotide non-coding RNA. Lineage: Eukaryota; Metazoa; Chordata; Ascidiacea; Phlebobranchia; Cionidae. The record is from RefSeq and is a predicted model, not a curated record.